This 69-nucleotide transfer RNA is filed under the name Marmota monax (woodchuck). RNAcentral's name for it is "tRNA.Gly". Lineage: Eukaryota; Metazoa; Chordata; Mammalia; Rodentia; Sciuridae. The record is from RNAcentral.
GGACUUAGCUUAGUGGUAGAGUGCUCACCUACCAGGUUCGAGGCCCUGGGUUCGAUUCCCAGCAUGCCA